AGCCAACAACAUGACCUUCCUAUGAGAAAGUAAGAGAAGAGAGCCUGGACACAAUGGAAUUGAGAUUUCAUCACCACGAAGGCUUGGAAUAAAACCUGAUCUCUCAUAUGACUCUGAGACAAAUGAAAGAGCUAUGCCCCAAAGAGAUAAGCAUGUGGCAGCUUUUAUACCAGAAAUAUGCACAGCUAAGCCUACCAGCUCCCAGUCAUUGGUGAAAUGCAUAGUGCCCACUUUGAAUCAGAAUGUAAAAAAGUGACUGCUGUCUCUGAUUCAGGAUGCCCUACCCUGAUGUUCAGUUCCAUCAUCAGACCAUGGCCUCUUGAAAAUGUUACGGCUACUCAAAGAGCUUCAAGAGACUUCUUGGGAGACUUGAAAUCUGCAUGGAAGGACUCCAGCCUGUGAUGUUACAGCUCUUGUUUGCUCCCUGUAAAAUGACAUCAGCCAGAGGUCACAGUGCUCAGUGGGGAUCCACCACAUGAGGAUCUAUUUGCACAGUCUAAAAAUGCUAGAUCCUCCUCUAGAAGUCUUUACAGACUAAAAAG
This 542-nucleotide long non-coding RNA is filed under the name Zonotrichia albicollis (white-throated sparrow). Its description in RNAcentral is "lncRNA (ENSZALG00000017292.1)". The record is from RNAcentral. Lineage: Eukaryota; Metazoa; Chordata; Aves; Passeriformes; Passerellidae.